AGAAUCAACGCUGGCGGCGUGCCUAACACAUGCAAGUCGCACGAGAAAGCGGGAGCAAUCCUGUGAGUAAAGUGGCGUACGGGUGAGUAACACGUGAAUCAUCUACCUUCGAGUGCGGAAUAACUGAGAGAAAUCUUAGCUAAUACCGCAUAAUACCCACGGGUCAAAGCAGCAAUGCGCUUGAAGAGGAGUUCGCGGCAGAUUAGUUAGUUGGCGGGGUAAUGGCCCACCAAGACGAUGAUCUGUAUCCGGCCUGAGAGGGCGCACGGACACACUGGAACUGAAACACGGUCCAGACUCCUACGGGAGGCAGCAGUGGGGAAUUUUGCGCAAUGGGGGAAACCCUGACGCAGCAACGCCGCGUGGAGGAUGAAAUCCCUUGGGAUGUAAACUCCUUUCGAUAGGGAAGAUAAUGACGGUACCUGUAGAAGAAGCCCGGCUAACUUCGCGCCAGCAGCCGCGGUAA
Molecule: ribosomal RNA, 466 nt
Filed under: uncultured bacterium
Lineage: Bacteria
Description: SSU rRNA
Rfam family: Bacterial small subunit ribosomal RNA
Source: RNAcentral